RNAcentral lists this unclassified non-coding RNA (89 nucleotides) under Pseudomonas sp. Z003-0.4C(8344-21). The record is from RNAcentral. Lineage: Bacteria; Pseudomonadati; Pseudomonadota; Gammaproteobacteria; Pseudomonadales; Pseudomonadaceae.
UGUGGGAGCUGGCUUGCCAGCGAUGACGUCGGCCUAUCCGACAUUGAUGUGUCUGACAGAUCGCUAUCGCUGGCGAGCCAGCUCCCACC